GCAGAGAGAGAAUAUCAAAGGAGAGAGAAAUUAACAAGAUCGAACAUGACUAAUCAUGCCGUAUUGUCUGACAACUCGAUUGAUCUAAUCAAGAUGAUUUAACAAAAUCAUGGUUAAUAUAUAAAUAACUUAGUAAAAAUCACAGAUAAUUGAAUCUAGUGAUAUCCGGAUUUGACCAAGAUAGGUACUAGUAUGCUGCC
RNAcentral lists this long non-coding RNA (200 nucleotides) under Elaeis guineensis (African oil palm). RNAcentral describes it as "long non-coding RNA (EGUI_LNC009228)". Lineage: Eukaryota; Viridiplantae; Streptophyta; Magnoliopsida; Arecales; Arecaceae. The record is from RNAcentral.